RNAcentral lists this unclassified non-coding RNA (323 nucleotides) under soil metagenome. Its description in RNAcentral is "partial contains 5.8S ribosomal RNA, internal transcribed spacer 2, and large subunit ribosomal RNA". The stretch from base 1 to 120 matches the Rfam family "5.8S ribosomal RNA", at positions 35 to 154 of the family's 154-position model. The record is from RNAcentral.
GAUGAAGAACGUAGCGAAAUGCGAUAAGUAAUGCGAAUUGCAGAAUUCAGUGAGUCAUCGAAUCUUUGAACGCACAUUGCGCCCUGUGGUAUUCCGCAGGGCAUGCCUGUUCGAGCGUCAUUUCAACCCUCAAGCUCUGCUUGGUGUUGGGCCCUGCCCGCUGCGGCCGGCCCUAAAGACAGUGGCGGUGCCGCCUGGCCCUGAGCGUAGUACAUCUCUCGCUCCAGUGCCCGGUGGUAGCCUGCCAGAACCCCAACUCUCGUGGUUGACCUCGGAUCAGGUAGGGAUACCCGAUGAACUUAAGCAUAUCAAUAAGCGGAGGA